This 317-nucleotide ribosomal RNA is filed under the name Sounama koshunella. Its description in RNAcentral is "partial 12S ribosomal RNA". The record is from RNAcentral. Lineage: Eukaryota; Metazoa; Arthropoda; Insecta; Hemiptera; Aphrophoridae.
UUAUGAUCUUUAAAUUCAAAGAAUUUGGCGGUAAUUAAGUCUUUUUAGAGGAAUCUGUUUCGUAAUUGAUAAUCCACGAUUGAUUAUACUUUAAUUAUACUUGUAUAUCUCUGUUAUUGAAUGUAUUAUUAGAUUAAUUAUUUUCUUUUUUCUUUAUUUAUUUUAGAUUAAUAUCAGGUCAAGGUGCAGUUUAUAUUAAAGUGAAUAUGGAUUACAUUAUUAUUAUUUUGGAUUUUGAUUUGGAAUUAAUUUAAUGAAAUUGGAUUUAAAAGUAAUUUUGAAUAGAAAAUUUAUUUUGAUUAUAAGCUCUUAAUUAU